GCGGAUGACGGAGGCUACCAUGCAGUCGAGCGGUAGCACAGAGAGCUUGCUCUCGGGUGACGAGCGGCGGACGGGUGAGUAAUGUCUGGGAAACUGCCUGAUGGAGGGGGAUAACUACUGGAAACGGUAGCUAAUACCGCAUAACGUCGCAAGACCAAAGAGGGGGACCUUCGGGCCUCUUGCCAUCAGAUGUGCCCAGAUGGGAUUAGCUAGUAGGUGGGGUAACGGCUCACCUAGGCGACGAUCCCUAGCUGGUCUGAGAGGAUGACCAGCCACACUGGAACUGAGACACGGUCCAGACUCCUACGGGAGGCAGCAGUGGGGAAUAUUGCACAAUGGGCGCAAGCCUGAUGCAGCCAUGCCGCGUGUAUGAAGAAGGCCUUCGGGUUGUAAAGUACUUUCAGCGGGGAGGAAGGUGCUGAGGUUAAUAACCUCAGCAAUUGACGUUACCCGCAGAAGAAGCACCGGCUAACUCCGUGCCAGCAGCCGCGGUAAUACGGAGGGUGCAAGCGUUAAUCGGAAUUACUGGGCGUAAAGCGCACGCAGGCGGUCUGUCAAGUCGGAUGUGAAAUCCCCGGGCUCAACCUGGGAACUGCAUUCGAAACUGGCAGGCUAGAGUCUUGUAGAGGGGGGUAGAAUUCCAGGUGUAGCGGUGAAAUGCGUAGAGAUCUGGAGGAAUACCGGUGGCGAAGGCGGCCCCCUGGACAAAGACUGACGCUCAGGUGCGAAAGCGUGGGGAGCAAACAGGAUUAGAUACCCUGGUAGUCCACGCCGUAAACGAUGUCGACUUGGAGGUUGUGCCCUUGAGGCGUGGCUUCCGGAGCUAACGCGUUAAGUCGACCGCCUGGGGAGUACGGCCGCAAGGUUAAAACUCAAAUGAAUUGACGGGGGCCCGCACAAGCGGUGGAGCAUGUGGUUUAAUUCGAUGCAACGCGAAGAACCUUACCUACUCUUGACAUCCAGAGAACUUACCAGAGAUGCUUUGGUGCCUUCGGGAACUCUGAGACAGGUGCUGCAUGCUGUCGUCAGCUCGUGUUGUGAAAUGUUGGGUUAGUCCCGCACGAGCGCAACCCUUAUCCUUUGUUGCCAUCGGUCCGGCCGGGAACUC
RNAcentral lists this ribosomal RNA (1108 nucleotides) under Enterobacter asburiae. RNAcentral describes it as "bacterial SSU rRNA". It matches the Rfam family "Bacterial small subunit ribosomal RNA", at positions 35 to 1140 of the family's 1533-position model. Lineage: Bacteria; Pseudomonadati; Pseudomonadota; Gammaproteobacteria; Enterobacterales; Enterobacteriaceae. The record is from RNAcentral. RNAcentral also lists the same sequence under 1 other name.